GACGAACGCUGGCGGCGUGCUUAACACAUGCAAGUCGAACGAUGAAGCCAAGUUUCGAAGCUUCGGCAGAAACGCAUUUCGGAUUAGUGGCAGAGGGGUGAGUAACGCGUGAGCAACCUACCUCUUACAAAGGGAUCGCCUCGGGAAACCGGGAUUAAUACCAUAUAACGUUGUGAGGAAGCAUUUCGGUGCAUUCCUAGCUUCGGCGGUAAGCGAUGGGCUCGUGUCGCAUUGACCGGAUGGUGCGGUAACGGGUCACCAUAGUGAGGAUGGGUAACCGGACUGUGAGGGUGAACAGUCACACUGGAACUGAGACACGGUCCAGACUCCUACGGGAGGCAGCAAAGGUUAAUAUUGCACAGUGGAGUGAACUCUGAAGCAGCGACGCCGCGAGAGUGAUGAAGGAAUUCGUAACGUAAAACUCUCUUGUAUGGGAAGAAAAGGACGGUACCAGAUGAGAAAGCUCCGGCUAACUACGUG
This 480-nucleotide ribosomal RNA is filed under the name uncultured bacterium. RNAcentral describes it as "partial 16S ribosomal RNA". It matches the Rfam family "Bacterial small subunit ribosomal RNA", at positions 28 to 507 of the family's 1533-position model. The record is from RNAcentral.